UACGUAGGGGGCAAGCGUUGUCCGGAAUCAUUGGGCGUAAAGAGCGCGUAGGCGGCCCUGUAAGUCCGCUGUGAAAGUCAAGGGCUCAACCCUUGGAUGCCGGUGGAUACUGCAGGGCUAGAGUCCGGAAGAGGCGAGUGGAUUUCCUGGUGUAGCGGUGAAAUGCGCAGAUAUCAGGAGGAACACCGGUGGCGAAGGCGGGUCUCUGGGCCGUAACUGACGCUGAGGAGCGAAAGCAUGGGGAGCGAACAGG
RNAcentral lists this ribosomal RNA (253 nucleotides) under uncultured bacterium. RNAcentral describes it as "partial 16S ribosomal RNA". It matches the Rfam family "Bacterial small subunit ribosomal RNA", at positions 524 to 776 of the family's 1533-position model. The record is from RNAcentral.